UGCAGCAUCAGGCAGUGGCAGCAAAGACAAAACUCUGCAUGAUGCAUGUGAUUGACUGGUUAUGGAGAAGCAAAGAAUUAUUUUAGUUUGCUGAUUCACUUCGCAAUAAGCUCAAAUUCUUCUAUGAACUUGAAAAUGUCGCUAUCAGUUUUUAUUCUCUGAAAAGAAGAGCAAAAAUCUGAAGUCAAAGUUAUCUUCAGAAGUAGACAAACUGAAGGAUGAUCUGUAUGAACUAUGAUAAAUCUGCUUUCAUUGAGCAGAAGACAGGAAGAAUGAGAUGAAUUAAAUUUCAGGAAAACGGCAGUAGGAAGCAAAUUCUUUUGCUCUGAUACCAUGUUAGAAUUUAUUAAAUGAAGAAACUUCAAUUGAACUCCAUAAAGGAGAAGAACAAACUCCAUAAUAGGAGAAGAAAAGGCACUCCAUGAAAGGAGGAAAUACACUCCAUGAAGAAGGAGAAAAACCUCCAUAAAAGUAGGGAUUGGAAGACUAUACUCCAAUGAAUUACAAUGAACAGCCGGUUGUGUAUUUAUAGAGAAAAUGUCUAACUAAACUAACUAUCAACUACUAACUACUAUGACAGGUGGAA
Molecule: long non-coding RNA, 586 nt
Filed under: Olea europaea subsp. europaea
Lineage: Eukaryota; Viridiplantae; Streptophyta; Magnoliopsida; Lamiales; Oleaceae
Source: RNAcentral